GCUUUAGAAAAAGCUGGGGACUAGAGGCGAUGAACAGGACAUACUGCUCCACGGAUACAAGUUAAUGCUGUGAGUUGGAUGGGAAAAUGUUGAUUCUCUUUCAACAACCACGGUUUGAUUCUUAUUAUUAUAAGGAUCCGAGUUGAGUUCUUCAAGUUUGUAUCGGGAUGGCAACAGAUCGUUUUCUGUUCUAAGCCUCUUGAGAGCUUGAAAUUCAUCUUCACAGUAGUGUAUUUGAU
This 239-nucleotide unclassified non-coding RNA is filed under the name Hevea brasiliensis (rubber tree). Lineage: Eukaryota; Viridiplantae; Streptophyta; Magnoliopsida; Malpighiales; Euphorbiaceae. The record is from RNAcentral.